This is an RNA transcript of Vespula vulgaris, 3860 nucleotides long. It is a transcript of the gene named palmitoyltransferase app, with no coding region annotated. Lineage: Eukaryota; Metazoa; Arthropoda; Insecta; Hymenoptera; Vespidae. The transcript is spliced from 10 exons. The record is from RefSeq and is a predicted model, not a curated record.
UGUAGUUUUGAUUAAACAUGACGAGGAUCUGUUUGCUCCAUAAAUACACAACUACGUUUGUCAACUCGUCUUACAUCCUUAGGUCAAACAUUACAAUGUUAUUAUGACUAGAGUAGAAAAAUUUGUAUCGUCGAAGAAUGGAUCAUUCUCUAACGAACAUAAGCUACGAUUUUGCGCGUAACAUGUAGCCAGUCGACCCACUUUACGAAUAGAUCAUUAUUCUUCGUCGACGAUCGUUGCUCGACCAUGAUCUCAUCGAUAUAACAAGUGUUCUUCGAAGUCUCUAUUCCUUCGAAGAAAAUUGUGAUGUUUUUGCAUUGAGAGAUAGUUCACGGUCGUUCAGGAAACUCGAAACGUACGAGAAUACAGAGUCUGGUGUUCAUUUUUCUUGAGAAUGUCGUGGGUCCUUACGUGGUUCGAAUACGUGCAUUUAGUGGACGAUCUAAUUAGGUUAAGUUGACUAAUGGUUCGAAUUUUUUAUCGUAACAUGAUUUACCUGUGGAGAACCUGAUGAAUUGAUUGUCAAAUGCAUGUUUUUUGUUUGACAAACGUUGAAUACAAAAGUACCUAAGAUUAUCAGGAACCAAGAUGAACUAUGGUUGUGCAUUUAUUAAUAUUUUACACGAUGAAGACUCAAUGUGUGUGAUAAACUUUUUACAAAGAUCUCUACUAUACUUGCUUGUAUAUAUUAAGAAUAUUUAGAGUGAAAGUUACUAUUAAUCAAUAUGCCGCACGUGACCAGAAAAUGGGAAUUAUUUCCUGGUCGAAAUCGUUUUUGUUGCGAUGGCAGGGUGAUGAUGGCACCACAAACGGGUGUCUUCUAUGUUACAGUGUGUUUGGUAGCUGGUACAAGCGGAUUGUUUUUUGCCUUUGAUUGUCCAUUUUUGGCUGUGCAUAUAACACCUGCAAUCCCGGUAAUAGGUGGAUUAUUAUUCGUAUUUGUAAUGUCUGCCUUGUUUCGAACCAGCUUUAGCGAUCCUGGUGUUAUUCCAAGAGCAACACCUGAUGAAGCUGCUUAUAUAGAAAAACAAAUUGAAGUACCAAAUAAUGGUAACUCUAAAACGUAUAGACCACCUCCAAGAACAAAAGAAGUAUUGGUACGAGGACAGCCUGUAAAGUUGAAAUAUUGCUUUACUUGUAAGAUAUUUAGACCACCAAGAGCCUCGCACUGUAGCUUAUGCGAUAAUUGUGUAGAAAGAUUUGAUCAUCAUUGUCCGUGGGUUGGCAAUUGUGUUGGUAGAAGAAAUUAUAGAUAUUUUUAUGCUUUUAUAGUGUCUUUAGCAUUCCUAUGUGUUUUUAUAUUUGCCUGUGCUGUUACACAUUUAAUAAUGCUUACAAGAGAUGACAGACCAUUUUUAGAAGCUGUCAAAUUAUCUCCUGGUAGUGUCAUUGUAGGAGUGAUAUGUUUUCUUUCUGCUUGGAGUAUUUUGGGUCUUGCUGGCUUUCACACAUAUUUAGCCACGAGUAAUCAAACAACUAAUGAAGAUAUCAAAGGUUCUUUCACAAGUAAAAUAGGCCAGGAGAGUUUUAAUCCUUAUAGUCGAGGAAAUAUUUGCGGAAAUUGUUUCUAUGUCUUAUGCGGUCCUUCACCUCCAAGUUUAAUUGAUCGUAGAGGAAUAGUUACACCCGAGUAUCGGGCAGAGCAGGAACGAGUUUCUGAUGAAAAUGUGAUAGCUAAUAAUAAGUCAUAUGGAACUGUAAAGAUCGUGCAACCACAGUCCAAUGGAACAGGCAUGCAGACAAAUGUUCCCACAGAACUUACGGAUUCUAUGAAUAAUCUUGUUACUGGUCGAUAUUCUCCAAGAUUAGAAUCUAUUAAUGGUGAGUUGUCUCUUUUACGACAUCCUUCUCGCUGUACUGAUGAUCUUCCCAAAUAUUCUCAUCAGUAUAUCAGUGAUAUUUAUGUUCCACCAUAUCCUAUGCAACAUUGUCCUCAAGAUUCUACGAAACAUAUGAAAUAUAAUGUAAAUGAUAGGAUAAAUCCAGAAUUUCAAAAAGGUAUACAUAAAUAUCCUCAUAGAUGUAGAGAAGAGUAUCAUAGGUGUUCAGAUAAUAAUCUCAUAUAUGAUCAGUGCAUACAAGAUCACAAAUAUGCAAUCGAUCUUCAAAAAUAUCCGCAAAGAUAUUCGGAGGAUACAUUACGAUAUAAAAUUGAUGAAAAGAAUGGUUACUCUGAUUUACAAAAAUUUCCUCAGUGUCGCUCCGAAGAUCCUUUACGAAUCCCUCAGGCUCAUCAUACUAUGAAAUACAAUAAUCUAAGAUGCACUGAUCAUAGUAUAAAAUAUCCAUUACCAAAAAAUAUAUUACCAGCACGCAUAUUAGGUGCUACUGGUAUACCGAUUCAAGCAAUAGGACUUAUAGAUAGCCGUUUUGGUUCAAAUCCAUUAAGUAAUAAUUUAUCAUAUGUUGACAAUUCGUUUUGUCCUAACGAUAGUACAGAAGAAGAUCUUUUAAAUCGACGAUUUAUCAUGAAUUCUAUGAGUGAUAAUGAUGACAUUUAACAUUCAUUAUAGAAAAUGCAUUUUCAUUAUGCAUUAGUAAAUAUUAAUAAAGCUGCAAAACAGCUUUACAACAUUCAGCCUCGCCUUUGUAACAUGUAAUAUGAUUGCAGCAUAGCUGGCAAUAAUAAUAAGGUAAUCAUAACAUUGGAUAUAAUGUAGUAUCCAAAUGGCACUGGUAGUAUUUUCUUAAAAACAAAAAGUUGUAGUGCAUUAAUACAAUGUGCAAUGUAUCAAAUUAUCAUCUUGUUGUUAGAAGCAAUUUAUGAUAUAUUAUUAAACAGAGCUGUGUAUAUAGUAAAUAAUACAUUUAUAAAUAAUUUUUUUGUAAAGUAUCAAAUAUUCUUUCAAACGUUUAUAUAUGCAUCUUAAUGAUGAACUUUCGUUUUUUUUCUUCUUAUUUUUUUAUUUAUUUAUUAUUAUUAUUUCUUUCUUUCUUCUUUAUCUUCUUUUUUCUUUUUUUUUUUUUUACAUUAUUUGAUUAAUUUUGAUAUUGUACUUUUGAGAAUAUAUAUAUAUAUAUAUAUAAAUAUCAUUUGUAUUGUUACUGAAUUUCUAUUUAUCAUUAGGAAGGAUUUUAUCCAAAAAGGUGCUUUUCUGCCAAUUAUAUUUUCUAGAUUUUUUCUGUAGGAUUUAACAAUAUUUUUACUGGUUACUAAUGCUUUUGUCAAAUUAUUCGAUAACAAUUCAAUGAAUCAUUUUUCUUUGUUCAAAUUACAUCCUGUUAUCGAGGGCUCAGAGAAUUCCAUUUGGUAAGUUUACUUUCUUACAUCUGAACUAAGUGUAUGUUCUAAUAAAUGAAUGGGUUGGCAUUAUUAAUGACUUUACUAAAUCACUGUGCCAUAUCUAUUAUUUUUUCUGUCACGCGAAACUAAUUUUAGAAUAUUGUCAUAAUUCAGAUAUUAGUAAUAUACACAUUGGCUUUUUUCUUAUAAAAAAAUUAACAAAAAAGAUUAAUGAAUUUCUAUUAUAGAUAAAUAUAGCUUUGUAAAUAUAAAUAGUAUCGGUGUUCAAUCUUAUUAUUAAUUUUUUUACAUAGAAAUAAAAUAUUUCCAAAGUUUUCGUUAUGCACGGAAUAUAGAUACCAUAUAUUAGUAAAUCAUACAAGUAUAAAAUCCAAGUUAUAUUAUUAUAUAUAUAUAUAAAAUUACUUGAAAUAUUUUUUACAUUUGGAAAAGAAAACAGUGGUGAUGGAGGAAUCUAACUAUAUAAAGGUAGUACUACGAAUAGUGUAAGUCAGCUAGUUACCAACGAAGUACCAUUAGCAUCGCUCAAUAUUGCUCCGAUUGAUAUUGACGAAAUUGCUCCACUUCCCCCGCGUCCAAAUGUUGCGGUUUCUUCUACAUUGGAUACCACUUCAAU